Molecule: ribosomal RNA, 262 nt
Filed under: uncultured bacterium
Lineage: Bacteria
Description: partial 16S ribosomal RNA
Rfam family: Bacterial small subunit ribosomal RNA
Source: RNAcentral
GUCCUAGCCGUAAACGUUGGGUGCUAGGUGUGGGCGGAUAUCAACCCCGUCCGUGCCGAAGCUAACGCAUUAAGCACCCCGCCUGGGGAGUACGGCCGCAAGGCUAAAACUCAAAGGAAUUGACGGGGCCCCGCACAAGCGGCGGAGCAUGUUGCUUAAUUCGAUGCGACGCGAAGAACCUUACCUGGGCUUGACAUGCAGGGGUGAAACCCGUGAAAACGGGCGCUCUUCGGAGCCUGCACAGGUGGUGCAUGGCUGUCGU